This 825-nucleotide long non-coding RNA is filed under the name Mus caroli (Ryukyu mouse). RNAcentral describes it as "lncRNA (MGP_CAROLIEiJ_G0013725.1)". The record is from RNAcentral. Lineage: Eukaryota; Metazoa; Chordata; Mammalia; Rodentia; Muridae.
CGCCUCGAGCUGUCACUUGCCGCCUGGAGUUCGUUGGGAAAGUUGAAAAAGCCUAGUCCUGUUUAGGAAAUCUAUCCAGCUGUGUAUAUCCUUUUUGCUUUUAGGGUAUGAAGCUUAGGAAGGAUAAGAAAAACAAGAUCACACAGCUGGCAAGUGACACAAUUUAUAACUCCAGAACGAGAAUUUGCAGUUGUUGCGCCAGAUGCCCUGUAGCGGGGCUGCCACCAAGAAGGUGGAAGAACACCUUUAGUUCCAGCACUCAGGACACAGAAACAGGAUCUCUCUGUAUAGCCAUGACUAUCCUGGAACUCACUAUGUAAACCAGAGAUCUGCUUGCCACUGCCUCCCAGGUGCUGGGAUUAAAGUGGCUCGUCUGGGUUCAGGAAAGUAUAGCUCCACUUUAGUGUUCUUAUGGAUCAUCGACUGUACCCAAGACCAGAAUGGAAACAACUAGAUCAUCUUCAACUGAAGAAUGGAGACAGAAACGUGAUACAGAAGUCUGAUCCUUUGAACACGUGAAGAGUUCAUAGCAGUCCACAUAGAAAAGAUGAAGGAUCCAGAGAGACAUUGACAAUGGAGAUGAAUGCAACAUUCACAGGAGAGAGAUUCGUAACUUGCAGAAGAGAUGAAUACCCACCUGGCUCUGGUCUGUGGCUGCAGCAAAAGUGGGCACACCCCUCCAGACCUUCAUAUUGAAAACUAGGCAAAACCAGCUUACCAGGAUGCGGCUCCCACUGGGGUCAGACUGAACUUUAUGGAAUGUGGGGCACGAGAGUCCAGGAUGGAUUCAUGCUCAGGAAAAAAUAAACCUCAGAUUGCCUCGCC